CCCACAGCCGAUCUGGCUUCAUUAAGAUGUCCCCGGAAACUGCAACGACCGCUCAGUUAGGGUUUCACUGUAAACAUAAUGACGGAGGCAAUGGUUGAUCUCCCUCGACAUUGGAAGCCGAUCUAGCCAAACCCGAAACAGAGUGAGGCCGGAGAGAGUGAAACAGCUAGAGAGAGAUGAUGAUGCCGAUGGGAGAUUGGUAGCGGGUGCCGAGCAUGGCCUCUGGCCGGCCACCCUAUCUUGAGGACGCUGGUGGUCUUGCUUGCGUGCGUUGUAGAAUAAGAUCGGCAUGAGAAAAGGCUAGAAAGAGAGAUGACAAUGGGUUUGUGUGCCGACCAGUGAUGUUGUUUGUGGAUGUGGACUUUUGAACAGAUUGGUCAUGAGUGCUUUGGCUUAAUGUUUGCAUACUUUUAG
Molecule: long non-coding RNA, 414 nt
Filed under: Helianthus annuus (common sunflower)
Lineage: Eukaryota; Viridiplantae; Streptophyta; Magnoliopsida; Asterales; Asteraceae
Description: hypothetical non coding rna
Source: RNAcentral